Molecule: long non-coding RNA, 1636 nt
Filed under: Homo sapiens (human)
Lineage: Eukaryota; Metazoa; Chordata; Mammalia; Primates; Hominidae
Description: non-protein coding lnc-GPD2-3:1
Source: RNAcentral
GAAAUUUAUCAGAGAAAUUUUAAAGAAAUAUUAAAAUAAUUUUUUUAAAAAAUAAUAUAAUUAUCAUAUUACAUAAUAUAAUAAUCCACCUUGCUCAGGAGGCAUGAAAGAUUUGAAGUGAGGAGAGAAGGUGGCAAUAGUCAUCUAGAAGGGUGUGCACUUUUUAAAAACAUGAAUGUCAACAGUUGCAGAUAAAAUUUAGAAAAUUUUGCGAGAAAGUUGAACAUUUUGGUUUAUUAAACCUAAAAGAAAUGGAUUUUAAACAUCCCUCAUAAAUCUGAUCCCUGAUUCUGAGAGUUCAGGCUCGUUGGAGGGGGGAAAGGAGAAGAGAUUACAUCACAGUUUUUCCUCAGGUUUCUUUAUCGGCUAAGGCAGUGUGACUAUUUGUACAUCUCAUCCUCUGACACUCCAUUCCUAACAUGAAGACUAGUGAAAAGUUAAACAAAUUACUAUUUUAACUGAGUUUGAAGAAGUUUAUAGCUGUAAACUUAACUGGAUAAAAAUCUUGACAUUCUAUGGGUUUCCAGUUUUAUUCAGCUCCUAAAAGAGAACUCUUGUCAUCCUGUUUCUAUAUAUAUUUUAAUUGCACUUUGUUCUAAAGAACUACAUUCAUCCUACAGCAAAUUGGAAUGGGAUGCAUAUGUUUGCUCAUAAAACCUAUAACAGCCCUUAAAAUGUAAUCAAUUUUCUCUAAAAAGACUGAAUAUUCAUUCACAGUCCAUCAAGCCACUCCCAGGAAAAGCAGUCUAAUUUAUCUUCUCCUAAGACCUUCAUAACAACUACUUUUUUUCUGAACAGAAAGGAGGAAAAACAUUUCUUCAUUUCCCUAGUGACGUCUGGGACAAUGCUUUGUCCAAAGCACCUGACUGCAACUUUCUUCUUCUUCAAUCCAUUGACAAGUGGUUUGUAAAAGUAUUAUUCUGUAAAAUCACUAGACAAUGGACGAAUGAUGCCCUUCCAAACAACACUUCUUGAAAUUUCUAAUCAAAAUGUUCUAUCUGAAGUAGCUUGGGUCUGACAGCAAGCCCCACCAUGAAAUGCCAAUGUUUAUUCAUUCAGCGCUCCUCUGCCUUUCGAAGACGACUCCGGCUUUGUCCUCCUGCAGGGAAGAGCAUGCUCUUACGUUUGCAGACAGCAUUUGACAAAGUUCCACAUCAGAGAUCAAGGUCUUGGUAGAGAGAUUGAGGUCUAAAAAAGGAGGAAAACAGAAUGGACAUAAAUGUACAUAAAAUGGAUUGAAUGCUGGCUAAAGGGCAGAAGAGGGUAUGGUCAUAAAUAAAAACUUUUCAUGGUGACAAAAGGUAACUGGAGAUAUAUUAUUGGAUCACUGUGAGGAUCCCACUUAUUUAUUAACUGUUAAGGUGAAUUUGGCAAUCGAACUGAAAGGAAAAUAUCUUGUCUUUUAAAUAUAGUCAUGUCAGAGAAAUGGAGAAUAACAUUGAAAUUCUAUUUUCUGCAGGAAAAAGCAACAUUAAAUUAUGGGAUAUAUAUUUUAUAAAUUGAUUCAAGCUAAUAGGCCUUCAGUUUGAAAUGUUAAUCUACAUUUUUUGAUAUCUUUUACCUCCACACUAUUAUUAAAAAGGGCAAGUAAGCAAAUUGUAAAGAGAAGGGAAAGAAUUGAAAGUAGAGUGUCCAU